Molecule: ribosomal RNA, 425 nt
Filed under: uncultured bacterium
Lineage: Bacteria
Description: bacterial SSU rRNA
Rfam family: Bacterial small subunit ribosomal RNA
Source: RNAcentral
UGGGGAAUUUUUCGCAAUGGGGGAAACCCUGACGAAGCAACGCCGCGUGGAGGAUGAAGGCCUUCGGGUCGUAAACUCCUGUCGACCGGGACGAACGCUAUCCGACCAAAUACGUCGGGUAGUCGACUGUCCCGGGUGAGGAAGCCCCGGCUAACUCUGUGCCAGCAGCCGCGGUAAUACAGAGGGGGCAAGCGUUGUUCGGAAUUACUGGGCGUAAAGGGCGCGUAGGCGGCCUUCUAAGUCGAACGUGAAAUCCCUGGGCUCAACCCAGGAACUGCGUCCGAUACUGGAAGGCUUGAAUCCGGGAGAGGGAUGCGGAAUUCCAGGUGUAGCGGUGAAAUGCGUAGAUAUCUGGAGGAACACCGGUGGCGAAGGCGGCAUCCUGGACCGGUAUUGACGCUGAGGCGCGAAAGCGUGGGGAGCAA